CCUGGUAGUCCACACGGUAAACGAUGAAACUCGCUGUUUGCGAUAUACAGCAAGCGGCCAAGCAAAAGCGUUAAGUAUUCCACCUGGGAAGUACGCCGACCAACGGUGAACUCAAAGAAAUUGACGGGGGCCCGCACAAAGCGGAAGGAACAUGUGGUUUAAUUCGAUGAUACGCGAGGAACCUUACCCGGGCUUAAAUUGCAGAUGAAUUACGGUGAAAGCCGUAAGCCGCAAGGCAUCUGUGAAGGUGCUGCAUGGUUGUCGUCAGCUCGUGCCGUGAGGUGUCGGCUUAAGUGCCAUAACGAGCGCAACCCUUGUUGUCAGUUACUAACAGGUUCCGCUGAGGACUCUGACAAGACUGCCAUCGUAAGAUGUGAGGAAGGUGGGGAUGACGUCAAAUCAGCACGGCCCUUACGUCCGGGGCUACACACGUGUUACAAUGGGGGGUACAGAGGGCCGCUACCACGCGAGUGGAUGCCAAUCCCAAAAACCUCUCUCAGUUCGGACUGGAGUCUGCAACCCGACUCCACGAAGCUGGAUUCGCUAGUAAUCGCGCAUCAGCCACGGCGCGGUGAAUACGUUCCCGGGCCUUGUACACACCGCCCGUCAAGCCAUGGGAGCCGGGGGUACCUGAAGUGCGUAACCGCGAGGAGCGCCCUAGGGUAAAACUGGUGACUGGGGCUAAGUCGUAACAAGGU
This 698-nucleotide ribosomal RNA is filed under the name uncultured Bacteroides sp. Its description in RNAcentral is "bacterial SSU rRNA". It matches the Rfam family "Bacterial small subunit ribosomal RNA", at positions 786 to 1497 of the family's 1533-position model. Lineage: Bacteria; Pseudomonadati; Bacteroidota; Bacteroidia; Bacteroidales; Bacteroidaceae. The record is from RNAcentral.